RNAcentral lists this ribosomal RNA (427 nucleotides) under uncultured bacterium. RNAcentral describes it as "bacterial SSU rRNA". It matches the Rfam family "Bacterial small subunit ribosomal RNA", at positions 355 to 774 of the family's 1533-position model. The record is from RNAcentral.
UGGGGAAUUUUGGACAAUGGGCGCAAGCCUGAUCCAGCAAUGCCGCGUGCAGGAUGAAGGCCUUCGGGUUGUAAACUGCUUUUGUACGGAGCGAAAAGGUCUGCCCUAAUACGGUGGGCCCAUGACGGUACCGUAAGAAUAAGCACCGGCUAACUACGUGCCAGCAGCCGCGGUAAUACGUAGGGUGCAAGCGUUAAUCGGAAUUACUGGGCGUAAAGCGUGCGCAGGCGGUUAUGCAAGACAGAGGUGAAAUCCCCGGGCUCAACCUGGGAACUGCCUUUGUGACUGCAUAGCUGGAGUGCGGUAGAGGGGGGUGGAAUUCCGCGUGUAGCAGUGAAAUGCGUAGAUAUGCGGAGGAACACCGAUGGCGAAGGCAAUCCCCUGGACCUGUACUGACGCUCAUGCACGAAAGCGUGGGGAGCAAACA